RNAcentral lists this unclassified non-coding RNA (9903 nucleotides) under Haliotis rubra (blacklip abalone). RNAcentral's name for it is "leucine-rich repeat serine/threonine-protein kinase 1-like, transcript variant X1". The record is from RNAcentral. Lineage: Eukaryota; Metazoa; Mollusca; Gastropoda; Lepetellida; Haliotidae.
AUUCUAUUGAAGUAGAUCCAAAGGGAAAGUGCUUUUCUCAGAAGAAAGGUUCACUGACUUAUGAUGUUUUCGUGGCAGCGCCGACAGUCAUUGAAACAGGCGGCAUACUCGAAACAGGUCGGUCAUUUGUAAAACCUACCCGGAAGUAAACAGGUCACACAGGCAAGGAUAGUCUGUGUCGUUAUUUACAAGCUGACUUCUUGACGUGGUAUACACAUCCCGCGCAGGUGUGGAGUGUGUAGCAGUUUCUACCUGAGGAUGACCGGUCACCGUCUCCAGCAGACAUGACAGACUGGGAACAAUAUUUUUCUGAUGCUAUUGCAAGGGCAACAUCAACAGGAGAUAAGGAAGAUUUACUACACAUACUGACUGACUGCAUCAACCCAUACGACGUGGUUACUUACUUGACGGACAACCCCAACGCCUUCCAUGAGCUCUGCAAGGUCACCUUCCUGGACGUGCUCAACUGUCUGGUAGAAUAUGGGGUGGAUGUCGACUUGGAGUGGGCUGGGUUCACCCCGCUGCAAGUGGCAGCAGCUUCAGGGGAUGUCGAAGUGGUCGCGUUCCUCCUCUCCAAGGAUGCCAAUUUGUCCAGGGACGUAUGGCAGGAGGCAUCUCCAUUCUACCUGGCGUCUCUAUAUGGACACUACAAGACAGUUGUCCAGCUCACAGAUGCCUUUCCAUCUUAUGUGAAGGACACAGAAAGCAGGAGCAGUUUGUUUUAUGCCGCUUGCAAGGGAGGUAAUCUGUCCAUUGUCCAGUUCUGGUAUCUGCCAGGUAUGGACCUCAACAACCCAGUCCAACUGAUAUCAUCUUUUGAGAACUGUGAGAAUAUGGUGCCACUUUUUGCAGCCUGUCAAGGUAACCACAUGGAUGUCGCCGAGUUCCUCAUAGAUAGUCAAGCCAUCAUCUCAGAAAAUAUCUGUCAGUGUUUUCCAAAGAUGACUGCAGAGCUCAUGAGUAGAUGUUUCAAAGAAGGGAAAGAUCAGACAUUUUCCGCUUCAAUGAGUCACCAACACCUGGGCAGGGUCCACCCACUAUGGUUUGAACCUCACCUCACACAACUGACUGAAGUGGACCUGUCAGAUAACAGACUAAAGGCCUUACCCUGUGAAAUUCCAUGGAGUAUGCCUAACAUAAGGGUGCUGAAUGUUUGUAAGAACAGACUCAAAGACUUUACUGGACCCGACUCAGAUGAUGGCAUAUGUUGGAACCUGGAAACUGUGUACCUGUCCAAUAAUGAACUGGAGGAAGUGUGUGUGGAACUGUUCUGUAUUGGCACUCUGAAAUACCUUGACUUGUCAAAGAACAGACUUGAGUACCUCAUCAAACCAACCCAUGUUCAACCAGAGCUUCAUUGGUCCAGGAAGCACAAACCAUCAUCCCCUGUAGAGUCAGAAGGACCAGAGGCAAAUUUUGGCCUCCCAUGCCUAACCCAGCUGGACAUAUCUCACAACAUGUUGAAGAAAAUUCCAGAUGAACUUCGCUUGAGCAGUGCUUUGACAAACCUCGAUGCCAGUGACAAUGAGCUGUAUGCCUUCAUCUCAGCAUGGAGCUGCCCACUGCACUACCUGAACCUAAGUGACAACUGCCUGGAGCGUUUCCCGGUCAGUGUGGAGGAGUUCUGGAGCGGAUCUCUUGUCACCCUGGACCUCCAAAACAAUAACCUUGAGGAACUUGGAGAGAGCAUUGUUAAACUUAGUGAGUUGCGGAGCUUAGAUGUGUCCAACAACAGGAUUGACCACCUGCCUGACCCGUCCGUGUGGGACUGUCGUUACCUGGAAACCCUCAACUUGGCUAACAACUACCUGGGGACUGCGUACACUCCGGAUGAAAUGAACAAGAAUGCUGUCACAUCACCAAAGACACUGAAGAACUACCUUCGGGGCUGGAGUGGCAUUGAUCAGCCAACUUCCAAACAAGUUGUGUUUCCAGAAAUCCUGUCCUUUAAUCUCAAGUACCUGAUUUUGAGAAACAAUAACCUCAUCCAGGCUCCUGUCAGUGUCAGUCAACUGCAGAACCUUAUGAAGCUGGACCUAAGCCAAAACCCAAUGAUGAAGACUCUCCCACUGGAGUUAGGUCUGUUGAAGCAGUGUCAAGAUUUGUUGUUGGCUGGAAACAAGAUCACCGAUCCGUCCAUACCACCAGAACUUCUCACUGACAAAAAGACAACAGAACUUAUUGACUAUCUGAGGCAACUCCUGAGAAAAAGUGAACCUAACAACCGACUGAAACUAGUUGUUCUUGGACCCCAGGACAAAGGGAAGACAACUCUGCUGAGCCUUCUCCAGGGUACAGCUGGACAGCAGCAUGGAGACAAGAUAAACACAACUGAGUGGAAACUGACAGCCAAGGGAGUCUACCAGAUGUUGCUGCCAUCAAGUAAACCAGACAUCAAGUUCAAUGUGUGGGAGUUACCAGGCAACCCUGACCUAACCAUCAUCCAUCAGUGCUUCCUCACCCAGAAUGCUUUGUACUUGCUGGUAUUUGACUUGCGGAAAGACUAUCAGCAUCUGCAGGAAUGGCUCUGUCAGAUUCAGGCUAAUGCACACAAAGCUACUGUCCUCUUGGUUGGUACUUUCUAUGACAAACUUGACCCUGUGACCAGAAACAUAAAAGUUACGGAUCUUGCUAAAAAAAUAUGCAGUACAUUCUCCAGGACUGCAGUAAAAGAACACUAUCCUCUUCUCAGGGAAUUCAAAAUAGUGUCCUGUGCUACCAAGGAAGGUGUGGAUGAACUCAAGAAAAUAAUCUAUGAGACAGGUGUUAAUAUGGCCCAUGCACGGCGAAGUCAUGAGUGCUUAAUUGGAAUGAAGAUUCCACAGUCCUAUCGCUUGUUAGUGGACUUGGUCAGAAAGAAGAGGAAGGAGCUGGAGAAGAUGAAGAUGCCUCCAUAUCUCACAGAAGAAGGUUUUCAGAGUCUGCUGGAUGAACUGCCUUACAAUGACAUCCUGGUGUUGGAUGACACAAGUAAUGCUUUGAAGUACCUGUUGGAGGUUGGAGCUCUGCUUCACUUCAAUGAGCAGCUGCAAGGCCUAAACUUCUUGUACUUCCUUGAUCCAGUCUGGCUGCAGGAACUCCUAGCACUAAUUGCCAUUGAUACAAAAAGAAUAUCAACAACUGCCAAGAUUCCAGUAACACAGCUGUAUCAGCGGUUCAAGGAGAAGAUGUUUCCUGAUGAUCUGUUUCUUCAAUAUGUUCAGCUGCUGAAGCGGUCAGAGAUUGUGGUUGAAACAGAUGAUGGCAAAAACUUGCUGGUUCCAUACAAACUACCCAAGGAGAAGCCAAUGAUGACAGCAGACAUCAGCCAGAGUGAUGGCUGUAAGAAGAUCUACCGCCUGUACAAGCUGACGUACAUUCCUCCCAGACUAUGGAGCAGAUUCAUUAUUCGCUUGCUGAAAGCUACUGAGAGAUUCUCUCAGACUCCUUGGUUUCUGAACACACAGAAGGCAGCAGAAACGUCCAAGAGGCUGUCCAGUGAACUAAAGCAUAGAAGCAGUAGUCGAGGUUUUGUUAUCAAGAACAAGGACAUCACCUACUGGAGAGAAGGGAUCCGGGUGGCAUCACCAGAAGCUGGCUACUUCCUGAUUGAGUCGGUCAACUACCGGAAACCACCCCCAGAAGACCUCGGAGUUGGCAUCCUCAUCACCAUUGUGGCCCCUAGCAGCCGCGGUCUGUCAGCAAUGGGUAUCAUCGUGGAUGAGUUGGAUGAUAUACUGAGGGACUAUUUCCCAGGUUUUCAAGAUUUCUUGGAUGAACUUCCCAGUGUGUUUACAGUCUGCCCACACUGUUAUGACCCAGUGAAGGAUGAUGCUGGCAUUGUGGUCAGCAUGACCCAUUUUGAUAUCCAGACAUGUGCUCUGACUACUCUCAAUCAAGGUGAAAUUAUCUGUCCUCGAGGAAAAAGAGUUCAAUUGGAGGAUCUUGUCCCUGAGAUGUUCUUGAAGGAACUACCAAAGAAAUUCUUCCUGGAUAAUUCCCUGAUGAACAUAAGUGAUAAGUCCCUGGGAACUGGUGCAGCAGGGGCUGUGUUUCGGGGCCGGUAUAAGGACACUGAUGUUGCAAUCAAGAUGUUCCACUGUUCCAUUGCUGCAAAGAGCCCACAGAGUAGUCUAGACAGUGGCUCUGCCAGCAUGUCCACACAAGGGAGCCAGGAUGCUGGCAUCUAUGGAAAUGUUGCACAGGAGAGGAGUUCAGUAGAAGAAGCAAAUAGUUUGAAGGCAUACAAGGCUUUUUCUGAGUUCCGGAAAGAAGUUGCAGUUUUGAGCAAGCUUCAACAUCCAUGCAUCGUGUCGUUUUUAGGCCUGUCCUUACAGCCUUACUUGUACAUCACUAUGGAACUUGCUCAGCUUGGCUCCCUCAGAAAUGUCCUUGACAUGGAGGUAGCAAAGCUACACUUCAACAAGUUCCAAGACAAAAACAAAACAUACUCUUCAAUUUUUAGUAAGGAUAUCACAUACAAGAUCAUCUAUCAGGUGGCCAAAGGCCUGGAGUAUCUCCAUCAGCACAGCAUCACCUACCGGGACCUGAAAUCUGACAAUGUACUGAUCUGUUCUCUUGAUGUUGCUGACACACACAAUGUCAAACUAUCUGACUAUGGCAUCUCCAAGUUUGCCACAUCACAAGGACUCAGCGGGUUUGUGGGCACACCAGGGUACAUGGCACCGGAAAUCAUGAACAAACAAAUAUAUACUGAGAAGGUUGACAUCUUCUCCUUCUCCAUGGUCAUGUACGAAAUAUUGAGUGGACGACUUCCCUAUGACGAGUGCGUCAACCUUUCACAGAUCAUACAUGCAGUUAUCAAGGACAGGAAGAGGCCAGACAUAAAAAAUUUCAACAUUGUGUCCCAUUUCCCUUACCUGGAGUAUCUGAUGUCUGAAUGCUGGAACCAUGACGCCAGCCAGCGGCCAUCAGCAAGGGAGAUCACUGCGUUCAUGCGGCAGCAUCAGUUUGUGGGGCAGUGUGACCAUCUCACACAGGCCGGACCUGGUGCCAAGUUCAGAGAUGUCACCUGCACAGCAGUCACCUCAGAGACCCGCUCUGCUGACACAAAGACCAAACUGUGGGUAUGGGAGGCGGCAGGAGAGGAACAAGUUCGGUGCUACUCUAUCUUCAAUCUGGACACAUCCAGUUUCCAUGUAGCCCGCAAGGAGUGCCCAGGAGCUGAUGUCCGCUGCAUGAUUAAAGCUGGGAGGUCAAUGUUUGUUGGAACUGAGGCAUCUGUGAUAGAACUGUUUGGUUGUGGGAGCAUCGGUGUUCCAAAGUGUCAGGAAAAAUUCUCACUUGCUGCUAUACCAACAUCAAUGAUCUUUCACAAAAUGAGUGAUAAUGGAGAGGAGAGUAUAGGUCACGUCUUUGUGGGACUUGACAAUGGAUCUGUUGUCAUCUACUCACAUCAGCCCAACAUGAGGAAAGCCAGCAAGACAUGGAGACUAGUGAAGACUUUAACACUAUCAGUUGACCAGUCAGUAUGUAGUAUGACUUUGGUCAACCAGGGCAGAGAACUGUGGGUAGCUUGUGGACACAUGGUGGUGAUUGUUAGCACCCAGACACUUCUCAAAGAGGAAGAGAUUGACAUAAAGCAAGAGUGUAUGGCAAAUAAACUAGCAAAGCAUCCUGUUAUUCAGCAACUAGUUUCUAAUGAAAACCAGGUCUGGUGCUCUUUCAGAAAGUCCUCAAAGAUUCUUGAGUAUGAUGCGGAACUGAGACAGCUGUUGUUUUGUCUGGAUGUGAGGAACAGUGAUGUCAAGUAUAAACACUUUGCCAGUUCCACAGACAGUGAAAGUGACACAGAGUCUGAUUUGGGCUCUGAUGAUGAUGAAUUUCAUGACACUAACUUGGCAGCAAAAUCGUCCAAUUUAAGUACUUCCUGUCCAUCAGCAUCUUUGGUCGACUUGAGACCAGCUGCCCCAACGCCAGGUGCAAGUGAACUAACAAGGCCUAGCCAGAAUGUGUAUGAUGAAGUGGAUCUAGAACAGCCUGUCACAACUAAGCAUAGAUCCUUUGAGCCACAUGACUAUAUAACAUUGAUACCUGACAGCCAUGUAGUGGAUGAAGCCAGUGAUGAUGAUGACACCAACUUGUAUGAAUACAUUGAGUCACCAGGAGUAGUAACUGACAAAUCAAGGAUUCUCUCCUCUGCAACACCUAGAAAAGUGACACCAUCAAAGUCACCUAAUGUACCACCCAGGCACUCAGCAUUGCCUAACUCUGAUUUAGGUAAUAAGCCACUCAGUGAUUCAGUUCCAGUUAGGCCACCCAGGAAUAAGAAAACAACUACUUUGAUAAAAGCAGAUCCACCUCAGAGCAGUGAGACAGAUCCUCCCCCUCGUCCCCGCGGACCACGUUCGGUGUCAAUGCUAGCAGGGGAGACUUCACCUCCCCCCAGACCACCCAGACUAUCCAGAUCAUUACAGGAGACCGUGCCACCUGUGCCACCACCAAGGAAAUCUAUAUCCACUGAGCACAUCAACAACAAAGCCAGUGACAAAGGUGAGGGAUCUAAGUGUAAUAAGGAUAUGUCAGGUCACGACAACCCACCGCCAGUUCCACCACGCAGACUGACUCUGAUAGUGCCCUGUCCACCUGAUAUACCAACAAGAUCAGCAUCUAGAUCCCCACGACAAUCACACAAGCUGGACCCACAUUCAAAUGUAUCAUCUGCCAUGCCCCCAACUAUACCACCAAGAAGCCCAACUGCUAAGAAAACAGGUGCUUCUUCUCCCUGCCUUCAACAUCAUGACAUUGGGCAUGGUGAAGUUUCACCCAGUUUAUCCACUAAAUACAACACAAUACCAGCAAACUUUAAGUCCCGGAAACCACCUGUGACACUUGUAUCAUCCAUGCAGGUUGGUCAUGAUACACUAUGGGUGGGAACAAGCAAUGGCAAGAUAUUUAUUAUUGGUAUCAAUGAAAACCUACCUAAUAACCGAAGACCCAAGCUGUCAGUACUUGAGAAUGCAUCAACCCCAAGGCUGGAGGAAGGACAGAUUAAAAGAGGACCUGUAUAUAUGAUGACAACAGCAGGUAAUAUGGUUGUGUCCAGUGUUCGGGUGAAUCCCAAGCGAGAGUCUCUGCAAACUGUGCUGACUGUGUGGGAGACAAUGGGAAGAAAAAGGCUGGAUGAUAUCACCAAUUUUUGGAAAAGCAUCUCCAACGAGGAGAGGGAGUUGACACAGAAAGACAGUCUUGCUUCGUAGGUGCCUCCUGUUUCACAGAAGAUAGGCUAAGUUAUGAUACUAAUUUUUGUCCCCGCUAUUGGGUCUGCUUUUAGAUGCCAAGAACACUUUUGUAGCAUUAAUGGUAAGAGAUGGGUUCAUAACUUGAUAUGUUUCAGGGCAGUAGUGAACGAUGUUGCCCAUAUUUAGUUUGUACACAUCUUUCAUAAGGGUAGGAUGUAUUGGAUAUGGAGCGAAGUCAGUAUUAAUAUCAAUAUCAUGGCAAAUUGUCACUCACCAACCAGCAUUGAGACCUGUGUUAAAGUUUUACAGAUAUGUGAGUAUUAUCAGGUUUUGUCAUAAUCCUCUUGUUUACCUAUCAUUAACUGUACUUGAUGUGUCCCUGCCCAUACCAAGUUUAUAGUUUAUAGUAGUUCUCAUGAUGAUAUGGUUGCCUUGAUAGCCAUGAUCAGUGUGUACAAUUCAGUCAUAUACAUGUAGAUACAGUGGAAGCCCUCUAAACCGGCAUUCGUUAGGACCGGCGAAAAGUGCCGGUAUAGAUGGCGUGCUGGUUUAGAGAACUUUUCUGUGUGCCGUAAAACUUGUUGACAUUUAAUUCUGAAGCAAACUGAAUAGAUUUCUCUUUCAAAAUAGGGCCAGAAAUGGGCAUGUGUUUACAGCGGGCAAUCAAAAAACAAUCAUGCGUCAGUGUGUUAAUUUUGUCAAAUUUACUGUUUUCAUUCACACGUUGUUGUUUUUUUUAUUGAUGUUUUGUUUGAAUUUAGUUUCAUACACUUGACGCUUUUUCAAAAUGUCUGAAACUGUUUGCCUGCCAAUUUGGUUCUUAAGUGCAAGAUCUUUUUGAGUAGGCUGAGGAAUUGCAUCAAAAUCUUUUAUCAGUGAGCGACUGAUAAAUUGUGACCCGACAAUUAAUUUAUAAUACAAGUGACACGUGUCACUCACCAAUUUACCUCGCCUACUUAGGCUUUUAUAGUCCUUAUCCAUACUCCUUUUAUCAGGCAACAUCAAUGAGCUUAAUGCUGAUGGUAAUCCACUGUGUUGUCAAUACAUGUUCAGCCAAUCAGCCAAUCAACAGGAGAGCCGAGAUACUGGAUGCCGAUUUAGAGAGCAUUAAUUGCUGUCCAAACAGUCAAUUGGGCGGUCUUUAUUGUGCCGAAAUACGGAAUAGACUGAAGCCGGACUAGAGGGCGUGUAAAUUAUCAUAAAUGAACUAGCUUCCUCCAGGACCAAAUUCUCGUGCUGAUAUUGAGUGCAUGCCAGAUUGGAGGGCUGCCGGUUUAGAGGGCUUCCACUGUUUAUGUUGUAGUUCAGUUACAGUACAGGGUCCCGAUCCACAAAGCAUUCUUAACAUUGCAACCUGUUGUAACUCUAUUAUUUUUCGUAGGCUUAUGAAUGUCAUAGCACUGCAAACGUGUUGUGUAUCGGGACCCUUGUACAUACAUUUUCUUUCAUAUGAAAGCAUGUCACAGAGACAAACCAAGAAUGCCAGACUUAGUUAAUACUGCUGAAACAUGCAAUGUACUGGUAACAUGUAAACCCUUCACAUGUCACAAUAGUGACAGGUAGCAUUUUCAAGUCAUUGCAAGCCUUACAUCACACAAGAAGUGGUUUUUCUGAUGUACCAUUGCUAAAUCUAUUUUGUCAUCACGGAGAAUUCCGCUGCAUAUGCAUUAUAAUUUCUUGGAUAUCUUUUCCCAUAUAUGCUGCUCUUGUCCUGUUGUGACAGCUUGGCAGGCAUUGCUUUGUGAUGAGCCAGAUAUGAUGGCGCCACAGAUGAGGUUGUCAUCAGAACUGGGACAGUUGUUAUUGUUUGGAUCAGUUGUAUGUUAUGAUCUCCAUGAUGGUUACAUUUUCUUACAUUUAUCAUUUAUAAUGUGAAAUAUAUUGGAAGAAUCCCUCCCCAGUACCAAAGUUAAUAAUCUAUCCUCGGGCGAUUAUUGUCAUGUCAGCAGGUUCUGUUUCCUGUGAUGCUGUUGGGUUAGUUGAGGACGUAUAGUACCUGGACCCUAGCUACUCUAAGGUGACAUUGUUCUGGUGUGUCUGGAAUAUAUCAUCAAUAUUAUAACAAACAACACAAAACAUUACUUUAUAUAUUUUAUUGAGUCAAACCAAGUUUGUAGCAUAAUGAGGGACAUGAUUUUUCUGUGUGUUAAUCGCACAACCCCAUGGGUUCUGUUUCAGCACUUGUGUUGAUCUAUAUAUUUCUCAAAUGAUUUUACCAUUCCAUAUAUAUCUAUGCAUGUAGCCAUAUACAUGUUGAAAUAUAAUGAGGGUAUUUUGUGUAUUAACAGAAGUACAAAGUUUGUUUUCCAUAUUUUGGUAGCCAUGUUUGAUCUUUGUACUUACAUUCCUGUUUUAACUCUAGUGAUACUGAUUAUAUGGACAUUAAUAUGUCUGUGAUAUGUAACGGCAUGAUGACAGGGUUCCUGGUUUUAGACAAAGUCUUGAGGAUGGAGUGCAGGGAAAAUGUUGCCAUGUUAUGAGUAUAUGUAAUUUUGUAAAAUUGUCAUGAUGUGAGUGAUGCUUUACUUGAUGUAGACAAUUAUGUUCCAACCCAGUGUUAUAAUAUAUGCUAUGGGACAGACUCUGUCAAGGGGAAGGUGAUUGACAAGUAUGGGAGGGGAGGUCUGUAUGUGAGAGACUAGGACAGACCCUGUCUAGGGGAAGGUGAUUGAGAGGUAUGGCAGGGGAGGUCUGUAUGUGAGAGACUAGGACAGACCCUGUC